Molecule: long non-coding RNA, 273 nt
Filed under: Ananas comosus (pineapple)
Lineage: Eukaryota; Viridiplantae; Streptophyta; Magnoliopsida; Poales; Bromeliaceae
Description: long non-coding RNA (ACOM_LNC043704)
Source: RNAcentral
UGACGGCGUCGUGGAUUCGGCGUGAUUGACGGCGGUUCGUGGAUUCGGAUCGUGAGCUUCGUGGAUUCGGAGUGGAGGCGUUUCGUGAAAUCGGAACGUGGCGCUCGUGGAUUCGAACGUGAGGGCGUGGAUAAUCCGGAGGAUUACGCGAGAUUCAUAGGAGGUAAAGAGAGGUCGAGUCCGUGGAGUCGGUAAUCACCUUGUAAUCUUUUCUCUUAGUGAAUUAUUUUUUCGCGUGUUGGUCCCAUGGGUUUUUCUCUAAGUUGGAGUUUU